UACGUAGGGUGCGAGCGUUGUCCGGAUUUAUUGGGCGUAAAGAGCUCGUAGGCGGCUUGUCGCGUCGGAUGUGAAAGCCCGGGGCUUAACUCCGGGUCUGCAUUCGAUACGGGCAGGCUAGAGUGUGGUAGGGGAGAUCGGAAUUCCUGGUGUAGCGGUGAAAUGCGCAGAUAUCAGGAGGAACACCGGUGGCGAAGGCGGAUCUCUGGGCCAUUACUGACGCUGAGACGCGAAAGCGUGGGGAGCGAACAGG
RNAcentral lists this ribosomal RNA (253 nucleotides) under uncultured bacterium. RNAcentral describes it as "partial 16S ribosomal RNA". It matches the Rfam family "Bacterial small subunit ribosomal RNA", at positions 524 to 776 of the family's 1533-position model. The record is from RNAcentral.